RNAcentral lists this ribosomal RNA (499 nucleotides) under uncultured bacterium. Its description in RNAcentral is "bacterial SSU rRNA". It matches the Rfam family "Bacterial small subunit ribosomal RNA", at positions 21 to 518 of the family's 1533-position model. The record is from RNAcentral.
GGCUCAGGAUGAACGCUGGCGGCGUGCUUAACACAUGCAAGUCGAACGAAGCAUUAGGACGGAUCCCUCGGGGAGAAGGAAUAAAUGACUGAGUGGCGGACGGGUGAGUAACGCGUGGAUAACCUGCCUUGUACAGGGGGAUAACAGUUAGAAAUGACUGCUAAUACCGCAUAAGCGCACAGCACCGCAUGGUGCCGUGUGAAAAGCUGAGACGGUACAAGAUGGAUCCGCGUCUGAUUAGCUUGUUGGUGAGGUAACGGCCCACCAAGGCGACGAUCAGUAGCCGACUUGAGAGAGUGAUCGGCCACAUUGGGACUGAGACACGGCCCAAACUCCUACGGGAGGCAGCAGUGGGGAAUAUUGCACAAUGGGGGAAACCCUGAUGCAGCGAACCGCCGCGUGAGUGAUGAAGUAUUUCGGUAUGUAAAACUCUAUCAGCAGGGAAGAUGAUGACGGUACCUGAGUAAGAAGCUCCGGCUAAAUACGUGCCAGCCGCUGC